Molecule: transfer RNA, 19 nt
Filed under: Cristataria colbeauiana
Lineage: Eukaryota; Metazoa; Mollusca; Gastropoda; Stylommatophora; Clausiliidae
Description: partial tRNA-Met
Source: RNAcentral
AUGGAAUUUUCUCUUUAGA